GGUUAAGUUAGAAAGGGCGCACGGUGGAUGCCUUGACACUAGGAGUCGAUGAAGGACGGGACUAACGCCGAUAUGCUUCGGGGAGCUGUAAGUAAGCUUUGAUCCGAAGAUUUCCGAAUGGGGAAACCCACCAUACGUAAUGGUAUGGUAUCCUUAUCUGAAUACAUAGGGUAAGGAAGACAGACCCAGGGAACUGAAACAUCUAAGUACCUGGAGGAAGAGAAAGCAAAUGCGAUUUCCUGAGUAGCGGCGAGCGAAACGGAACAUAGCCCAAACCAAGAGGCUUGCCUCUUGGGGUUGUAGGACAUUCUAUACGGAGUUACAAAGGAACGAGGUAGACGAAGCGACCUGGAAAGGUCCGUCGUAGAGGGUAACAACCCCGUAGUCGAAACUUCGUUCUCUCUUGAAUGUAUCCUGAGUACGGCGGAACACGUGAAAUUCCGUCGGAAUCUGGGAGGACCAUCUCCCAAGGCUAAAUACUCCCUAGUGAUCGAUAGUGAACCAGUACCGUGAGGGAAAGGUGAAAAGCACCCCGGAAGGGGAGUGAAAGAGAUCCUGAAACCGUGUGCCUACAAAUAGUCAGAGCCCGUUAACGGGUGAUGGCGUGCCUUUUGUAGAAUGAACCGGCGAGUUACGAUCCCGUGCGAGGUUAAGCUGAAGAGGCGGAGCCGCAGCGAAAGCGAGUCUGAAUAGGGCGUUUAGUACGUGGUCGUAGACCCGAAACCAGGUGAUCUACCCAUGUCCAGGGUGAAGUUCAGGUAACACUGAAUGGAGGCCCGAACCCACGCACGUUGAAAAGUGCGGGGAUGAGGUGUGGGUAGCGGAGAAAUUCCAAUCGAACCUGGAGAUAGCUGGUUCUCCCCGAAAUAGCUUUAGGGCUAGCCUUAAGUGUAAGAGUCUUGGAGGUAGAGCACUGAUUGGACUAGGGGUCCUCAUCGGAUUACCGAAUUCAGUCAAACUCCGAAUGCCAAUGACUUAUCCUUAGGAGUCAGACUGCGAGUGAUAAGAUCCGUAGUCAAAAGGGAAACAGCCCAGACCGCCAGCUAAGGUCCCAAAGUGUGUAUUAAGUGGAAAAGGAUGUGGAGUUGCUUAGACAACUAGGAUGUUGGCUUAGAAGCAGCCACCAUUUAAAGAGUGCGUAAUAGCUCACUAGUCGAGUGACUCUGCGCCGAAAAUGUACCGGGGCUAAAUACACCACCGAAGCUGCGGAUUGAUACCGAAUGGUAUCAGUGGUAGGGGAGCGUUCUAAGGACAGUGAAGUCAGACCGGAAGGACUGGUGGAGUGCUUAGAAGUGAGAAUGCCGGUAUGAGUAGCGAAAGACGGGUGAGAAUCCCGUCCACCGAAUGCCUAAGGUUUCCUGAGGAAGGCUCGUCCGCUCAGGGUUAGUCAGGACCUAAGCCGAGGCCGACAGGCGUAGGCGAUGGACAACAGGUUGAUAUUCCUGUACCACCUCUUUAUCGUUUGAGCAAUGGAGGGACGCAGAAGGAUAGAAGAAGCGUGCGAUUGGUUGUGCACGUCCAAGCAGUUAGGCUGAUAAGUAGGCAAAUCCGCUUAUCGUAAAGGCUGAGCUGUGAUGGGGAAGCUCCUUAUGGAGCGAAGUCUUUGAUUCCCCGCUGCCAAGAAAAGCUUCUAGCGAGAUAAAAGGUGCCUGUACCGCAAACCGACACAGGUAGGCGAGGAGAGAAUCCUAAGGUGUGCGAGAGAACUCUGGUUAAGGAACUCGGCAAAAUGACCCCGUAACUUCGGGAGAAGGGGUGCUUUCUUAACGGAAAGCCGCAGUGAAUAGGCCCAAGCGACUGUUUAGCAAAAACACAGCUCUCUGCGAAGCCGUAAGGCGAAGUAUAGGGGGUGACACCUGCCCGGUGCUGGAAGGUUAAGGAGAGGGGUUAGCGUAAGCGAAGCUCUGAACUGAAGCCCCAGUAAACGGCGGCCGUAACUAUAACGGUCCUAAGGUAGCGAAAUUCCUUGUCGGGUAAGUUCCGACCCGCACGAAAGGUGUAACGAUUUGGGCACUGUCUCAACCAGAGACUCGGUGAAAUUAUAGUACCUGUGAAGAUGCAGGUUACCCGCGACAGGACGGAAAGACCCCGUGGAGCUUUACUGUAGCCUGAUAUUGAAUUUUGGUACAGUUUGUACAGGAUAGGCGGGAGCCUUUGAAACCGGAGCGCUAGCUUCGGUGGAGGCGCUGGUGGGAUACCGCCCUGACUGUAUUGAAAUUCUAACCUACGGGUCUUAUCGACCCGGGAGACAGUGUCAGGUGGGCAGUUUGACUGGGGCGGUCGCCUCCUAAAGUGUAACGGAGGCGCCCAAAGGUUCCCUCAGAAUGGUUGGAAAUCAUUCGUAGAGUGCAAAGGCAUAAGGGAGCUUGACUGCGAGACCUACAAGUCGAGCAGGGACGAAAGUCGGGCUUAGUGAUCCGGUGGUUCCGCAUGGAAGGGCCAUCGCUCAACGGAUAAAAGCUACCCCGGGGAUAACAGGCUUAUCUCCCCCAAGAGUCCACAUCGACGGGGAGGUUUGGCACCUCGAUGUCGGCUCAUCGCAUCCUGGGGCUGUAGUCGGUCCCAAGGGUUGGGCUGUUCGCCCAUUAAAGCGGUACGCGAGCUGGGUUCAGAACGUCGUGAGACAGUUCGGUCCCUAUCCGUCGUGGGCGUAGGAAAUUUGAGAGGAGCUGUCCUUAGUACGAGAGGACCGGAAUGGACGCACCGCUGGUGUACCAGUUGUUCUGCCAAGGGCAUAGCUGGGUAGCUAUGUGCGGAAGGGAUAAGUGCUGAAAGCAUCUAAGCAUGAAGCCCCCCUCAAGAUGAGAUUUCCCAUAGCGUAAGCUAGUAAGAUCCCUGAAAGAUGAUCAGGUUGAUAGGUUCGAGGUGGAAGCAUGGUGACAUGUGGAGCUGACGAAUACUAAUAGAUCGAGGACUUAACCAUAUA
Molecule: ribosomal RNA, 2926 nt
Filed under: Bacillus thuringiensis serovar finitimus YBT-020
Lineage: Bacteria; Bacillati; Bacillota; Bacilli; Caryophanales; Bacillaceae
Description: bacterial LSU rRNA
Rfam family: Bacterial large subunit ribosomal RNA
Source: RNAcentral